Molecule: ribosomal RNA, 382 nt
Filed under: uncultured bacterium
Lineage: Bacteria
Description: bacterial SSU rRNA
Rfam family: Bacterial small subunit ribosomal RNA
Source: RNAcentral
GACGAACGCUGGCGGCGUGCUUAACACAUGCAAGUCGAGCGGUAAGGCCCUUUCGGGGGUACACGGGCGGCGAACGGGUGAGUAACACGUGGGUGACCUGCCCUCAGCUCUGGGAUAAGCCUGGGAAACUGGGUCUAAUACUGGAUAUGACUCCACGGUGCAUGUCGUGGGGUGGAAAGCCUUGUGCGGCUGAGGAUGGGCCCGCGGCCUAUCAGCUUGUUGGUGGGGUGAUGGCCUACCAAGGCGACGACGGGUAGCCGGCCUGAGAGGGCGACCGGCCACACUGGGACUGAGACACGGCCCAGACUCCUACGGGAGGCAGCAGUGGGGAAUCUUGCGCAAUGGGCGAAAGCCUGACGCAGCGACGCCGCGUGAGGGUGAC